This is a transfer RNA of 73 nucleotides. It matches the Rfam family "tRNA". From Rfam's summary of the family: Transfer RNA (tRNA) molecules are approximately 80 nucleotides in length. Their secondary structure includes four short double-helical elements and three loops (D, anti-codon, and T loops). Further hydrogen bonds mediate the characteristic L-shaped molecular structure. tRNAs have two regions of fundamental functional importance: the anti-codon, which is responsible for specific mRNA codon recognition, and the 3' end, to which the tRNAs corresponding amino acid is attached (by aminoacyl-tRNA synthetases). tRNAs cope with the degeneracy of the genetic code in two manners: having more than one tRNA (with a specific anti-codon) for a particular amino acid; and 'wobble' base-pairing, i.e. permitting non-standard base-pairing at the 3rd anti-codon position.
GCCAACGUGGCUCAGAUGGUAGAGCAACGCACUCGUAAUGCGUAGGUCGGCAGUUCGAGUCUGCCCGUUGGCA